Molecule: ribosomal RNA, 253 nt
Filed under: uncultured bacterium
Lineage: Bacteria
Description: partial 16S ribosomal RNA
Rfam family: Bacterial small subunit ribosomal RNA
Source: RNAcentral
UACGGAGGGUGCAAGCGUUACCCGGAAUCACUGGGCGUAAAGGGCGCGUAGGCGGCUGUACAAGUCGGGGGUGAAAUCCUGGGGCUCAACCCUAGAAUUGCCUUCGAUACUGUUCGGCUUGAGUCUGGUAGAGGUUGGUGGAACUGCUAGUGUAGAGGUGAAAUUCGUAGAUAUUCGCAAGAACACCGGUGGCGAAGGCGGCCAACUGGACCAGUACUGACGCUGAGGCGCGAAAGCGUGGGGAUCAAACAGG